RNAcentral lists this ribosomal RNA (478 nucleotides) under uncultured bacterium. RNAcentral's name for it is "partial 16S ribosomal RNA". It matches the Rfam family "Bacterial small subunit ribosomal RNA", at positions 28 to 523 of the family's 1533-position model. The record is from RNAcentral.
GACGAACGCUGGCGGCGUGCUUAACACAUGCAAGUCGAACGGUAAGGCCCUUCGGGGUACACGAGUGGCGAACGGGUGAGUAACACGUGGGUGAUCUGCCCUGCACUUUGGGAUAAGCCUGGGAAACUGGGUCUAAUACCGGAUAGGACCAUGGACUUCACGGUUUGUGGUGGAAAGCUUUUGCGGUGUGGGAUGGGCCCGCGGCCUAUCAGCUUGUUGGUGGGGUAAUGGCCUACCAAGGCGACGACGGGUAGCCGGCCUGAGAGGGUGUCCGGCCGCACUGGGACGGAGAUACGGCCCAGACGCCUACGGGAGGCAGCAGUGGGGAAUAUUGCACAAUGGGCGCAAGCCUGAUGCAGCGACGCCGCGUGGGGGAUGACGGCCUUCGGGUUGUAAACCUCUUUCAGCACCGACGAAGCGCAAGUGACGGUAGGUGCAGAAGAAGGACCGGCCAACUACGUGCCAGCCGCCGCCGUAA